This 381-nucleotide ribosomal RNA is filed under the name uncultured eukaryote. RNAcentral describes it as "partial 18S ribosomal RNA". It matches the Rfam family "Eukaryotic small subunit ribosomal RNA", at positions 592 to 976 of the family's 1831-position model. The record is from RNAcentral.
CAAUAGCGUAUAUUAAAGUUGUUGCGGUAAAAAAGCUCGUAGUUGGAUUUCUACCGAAGAUAGCCGGUUGGGUCUUCGACCUUGUAUCUGGUUUUGUCUUUGGUAUCCUCAUAGGGAACGUUUCUGCGCUUUAUUGCGUGGUGCGGUAUCUAUGACUUUUACUUUGAGGAAAUUAGAGUGUUCACGGCAGGCAAACGCCUUGAAUAUAUCAGCAUGGAAUAAUAACAUAGGAUCUUCGUCCUAUUUUGUUGGUUUCUAGGGCUAAGAUAAUGAUUAAUAGGGAUAAUUGGGGGCAUCUGUAUCAACGCGUCAGAGGUGGAAUUCUUGGAUUGCGUUGCGACAAACUACUGCGAAAGCAUUUGCCAAGGAUGUUUUCAUUGA